GGAACUACUGCUGUCUGCAAACAAGCUAAAGGAAAUUUAAUUGCUAAUUUAAAUUUAAUUUAAAUUGCAUUUAAUUGCUACUGCUAUUGAUUUUAGUGAAUUUUACAUGUCUCAUUAUUAUGGCAGAUGAAAUAGUUUUUGCAAAAUGAAUAAGGAAAGGAAGGAAAGCCUAAAAUUUGUUGUUUGUGACUAUAAGAGGGUAGAAAUGGACGAUUAUUUGGCCAUAGAGUUGUUUAACCAUUACUGUGUCUUUCUGGUUUUUUUAUGUCAUCCUUUUUUUUUGUAGGGCCCAGUAAAUCCUUUAGGGCCACCUGUACCCCAUGGGCCCCAUGGUGUCCCAGGCCCCCAUGGACCUCCUGGGCCUCCAGGGCCUGGAACUCCAAUGGGACCAUACAACCCUGCACCUUAUAAUCCUGGACCACCAGGCCCGGCUCCUCAUGGUCCUCCAGCCCCAUACGCUCCCCAGGGAUGGGGAAAUGCAUAUCCACACUGGCAGCAGCAGGCUCCUCCUGAUCCAGCUAAGGCAGGAACGGAUCCAAAUUCUGCAGCUUGGGCUGCUUAUUAUGCUCACUAUUAUCAACAGCAAGCACAGCCACCACCAGCAGCCCCUGCAGGUGCACCAACUACAACUCAAACUAAUGGACAAGGAGAUCAGCAGAAUCCAGCCCCAGCUGGACAGGUUGAUUAUACCAAGGCUUGGGAAGAGUACUACAAGAAAAUGG
This 722-nucleotide small RNA is filed under the name Pongo abelii (Sumatran orangutan). RNAcentral's name for it is "processed transcript". Lineage: Eukaryota; Metazoa; Chordata; Mammalia; Primates; Hominidae. The record is from RNAcentral.